ACGGAAGGCAGCAGCUAAGAAUAUUCCGCAAUGGACGAAAGUCUGACGGAGCGACGCCGCGUGAACGAUGAAGGUCGAAAGAUUGUAAAGUUCUUUUGAAUCUGACGAAUAAGCUGGAUAGGAAAUGAUUCAGUGGUGACGGUAGGAUUUGAAUAAGCAACGGCUAAUUACGUGCCAGCAGCCGCGGUAACACGUAAGUUGCGAGCGUUGUUCGGAAUUAUUGGGCGUAAAGGGCAUCUAGGCGGUAAUCCAAGCUUGGUGUGAAAUGCCGGGGCUUAACUCCGGAACUGCAUUGAGAACUAGGUUACUAGAGUCACUGAAGUGCAACCAGAAUUCCUAGUGUAGGGGUGAAAUCUGUAGAUAUUAGGAAGAAUACCAAUGGCGAAGGCAGGUUGCAGGCAGAUGACUGACGCUGAAGUGCGAAGGUGCGGGGAGCAAACAGGAUUAGAUACCCUGGUA
Molecule: ribosomal RNA, 459 nt
Filed under: uncultured Treponema sp.
Lineage: Bacteria; Pseudomonadati; Spirochaetota; Spirochaetia; Treponematales; Treponemataceae
Description: bacterial SSU rRNA
Rfam family: Bacterial small subunit ribosomal RNA
Source: RNAcentral